RNAcentral lists this long non-coding RNA (2109 nucleotides) under Nicotiana benthamiana. Its description in RNAcentral is "long non-coding RNA (NBEN_LNC016636)". Lineage: Eukaryota; Viridiplantae; Streptophyta; Magnoliopsida; Solanales; Solanaceae. The record is from RNAcentral.
CCGUACCGGUUUUUUCCUCCAUUUUCAUAAGAAAACUCCCUGAUUAAACAAUUCAUUAGGGCUCGUCUCGAAAAACGAUUCGAUUCUCAGAGAACUCAUUAAUUAUUUCCGCUGUCAAUGAGUUUCUGAGAGCUUAGCAUUUCAAAUUAUAUACUGCAAGAUCUCCCUCGCAUUUCACAUUUUACCUACAAUGGACGAGUCUUACUCCAAUUUUCCUACCAGCCAUUUGAUCGGCUCUGUACCGGUUCGCACUCUUCGCUCAUGACUCUUUUGCGCUUAAUUUCUCUUACUUUAUGUAUCGAUUGCUCUAAUGGAGACAUUGUUGUUUUUAAAAAAAAAAAUUAUAUUGGGGUUUUAGGUCUUGCUUGUUGUAGAUUUUAUUGGUUUUUGCUCUAUUAGCUAUUACGGAGAAGUGCAAAACCAAGUAGAGAAGCAAAAUUAGGACUUUCUAGCUCUCUCUUUUUUCUUAGUAAAGUCAAUUUAUUAAAUUUAGUUGUAACAAAAUGUCCUUUGGUCGUAUCAGCAUAUAUGGAUGAAUGCAUGCUUUAGCCGUUAAGUUUAUUUUUAUUUGGUAUAUCUGCAAUCCUUAGCUUUUGGAUUUAAAAAGCAGCUUCAACAUUUACCACUGAUUGGACGAAAAUGAAUUCCAACUCAUGAAUUUUCUAGUUAUAGAGAUACGAUAGUUAGGAUUUAAUUACAUCUAAAUACUGGAGGGAUCUGAGUAUCUGACUCCCUUUUCUAGUGGCGUUUCAAAUCCUUAAAUUUCUUGAUUAGGAUUUGAGUUCCUACUGGUUCAACUAUGUAGAACAUUAGUUUUAUUGAUGCAAUCCCUGGAUUAAAAUAUCAACCAUGAGAUACAGACUUAGUCCUAAUCGGUUAAAAAGGUAAGAUGUAAUCAUUAUCCACAUUUAGUUAGUAUUGCAGCUGCUUAGAUGUUGGAGUUUUAGCUGAAUAGAUUGCUUGCACCGUGCAGGCUGUUGUUACUGAAGAAAAAAGCACCACUAAUCUGCAAGGUACUUCAUUAUUUGUUGCAUGGAGAGAUUUGGGCUUAUAGAUCCAUAUGUCAUGCUUUCGAGUGUCAUAUGAAAGGAGCCAAAAUAGGGGCCUGACAUAAUGUGAUUUAAGUUGAUUUAAAUUUGUCAAAUCCAUAUUUUCAUAGGUAAUACCCAAACAACUGCACAUGAUUUAAGCUUAUGAAUAUGAAAGAAUACGGUCAAAUCUCUUAAGAGGACCCUUAAUAUUUUCUACUGUUCUACCAGAGAGCCGACUGGCUAAUCUAAUAUAUAUGCAGCUCCUGCAGCAAAUUUGCAAAUAUUUCCUCCAAAUAAUGGUGCCAGUACAGGGAACGGAUAUCAAACUCUCGGAGGAACUAGUGGUAUGCCUGUUAUUUAUAGAUUUACCCCCUUUCCAUGCGUAGUUGCACGGUUGAUAUUUAGUAUUGAGAAAUUAGUUGUUGAUAAAAAAAAGAUUUGAGAAACUAAUAUGAUUUGCAUCUCAUAAUAGUAGGUUUGGUCUUUGGAUGAGUAUAUUAGUAAUAAAAAAAAAAAUUUCAGAACCGCCGGGAACCGCCAGAACUGCCCGGAACCGGAACCGCCAGAACCGGAACCGGAUGGUACCCGGAACCGGAUGGUAGCUGUUCGGGAUCCAGAACCGCCAGAACUGCCAGAACCCGAACCGCCAGAAUCGGAACCGCCAGAAUCGAAACCGCAGACCCAAAUAGAUCCAGAAGCGGAACCGAAUACAACCUUAGUUAGUUUGUGCACAUCGCCCUCAAUUUUCCAACCCAUCACCCACGUCCAUGGCGCGAUACGUAAAAGUUCAUUGACACGCGUUGGCUCCAAUCGAACUUCACCCGUACCGGUUAUUUCCACCAUCUUCAUAAGAAGGCUUCCUGAUUAAACAAUUCAUUAGGGCUCGUCUCGAAAAACGAUUCGAUUCUCAGAGAACUCAUCAAUUAAAUCGGCUCUCAAUUUUGGUAUCAAUGAGUUUCUGAGAGCUUAGCAUUUCAAAUUAUCUACUGCAAGAUCUCCCUCGCAUUUCACAUUUUACCUACAAUGGACGAGUCUUACUCUAAUUUUCCUACCAGCCAUUUGAUCGGCUCUGUACCGG